UACUCCCGCCGGCGACCGGCGCACGGGUGAGUAACACGUAUGAAACCUGCCCGUAGCAGGGGGAUAAGCGGAAGAAAUUCCGUCUAAUACCGCGUAACAACCCGAGGAGGCAUCUCCUCGGGUUUAAAGGAAGCGAUUCCGGCUACGGAUGGUCAUGCGUCGCAUUAGCUAGUUGGCGGGGUAACGGCCCACCAAGGCGACGAUGCGUAGGGGUUCUGAGAGGAAGGUCCCCCACAUUGGAACUGAGACACGGCCCAAACUCCUACGGGAGGCAGCAG
RNAcentral lists this ribosomal RNA (278 nucleotides) under uncultured bacterium. RNAcentral describes it as "partial 16S ribosomal RNA". It matches the Rfam family "Bacterial small subunit ribosomal RNA", at positions 80 to 354 of the family's 1533-position model. The record is from RNAcentral.